AUGGAGGCGCUUUCUGAGAUUCGUGCUGAGGAGACUCGCUUACGUGGUGCUGGUUUGCUGGAGGUUCCCUCUGUGCUUGCUACUCGUGCUCCUACGCCACUUGCUCCACCGACCCCUUCUCGCUCGAGUGCUCCGCCGCUCUUGCCCACUCCUUCUGGAGGCUCAGGUCGCCCCUGUCCACAUUGCGCCUAUUGCAACAAUGAUGGUCAUUUUGAGUCUCAGUGCUACACGAAGAAGAAACACCUGCGCAAGGCUCGAUCAUCAUCUUCCGGGACUUCGUCAUCUACCUCGACAGCUUCAGCCAUUGCUUUGACUGAGCAGGAUAUUCUGAGACUUAAGCGUCUGCUCACGGCUUCAGGUUCUUCCUCGCCGGGUACUGCCGGUUCUGUGACUGAUGCUUCCCGCACUGAGCAAUCACCCUCUACACAGUCAGGUACAUCCCCCUGGGUUCUGGACUCUGGAGCUUCUUUUCAUAUGUCUUCUCAUUCUUCCACUUUGUCCUCUCUUCGAUCAUUGGAUUCUCCUAUUCAUGUCUUCACUGCUGAUGGUACUCCACUUUCUGUUGCUAGUAGAGGCAAUCUUACUACUCCUUCUUAUUUUGUUCCUGAUGUUGCUCAUGUUCCUCGACUUACUAUGAAUUUGUUUUCUGCUGGUCAACUUACGGAUUCUGGUUGUCGCGUCAUCCUUGACGUUGACUCUUGUUCUGUCCAGGACCGUCACACGCACACUCUGGUUGGGGCUGGCCCUCGCCGCCGUGAUUCUCAG
This 765-nucleotide ribosomal RNA is filed under the name Triticum aestivum (bread wheat). RNAcentral describes it as "partial small subunit ribosomal RNA". Lineage: Eukaryota; Viridiplantae; Streptophyta; Magnoliopsida; Poales; Poaceae. The record is from RNAcentral.